CGGCGUGCGCCAGUUACUCCUCUCCCCGCCGCGGCCGGCCCCUCCUCUCCCCGCCACGGCAUCGAUGCUCCUCCUCUCCACACCACUACAGGAGCCCGUCCACCUCAUCCUCCUCUUCCCUCCAUGGCGUCGGCUAGCAUCUCCUAUCCCUGUCGUCUAUCGUGUCCCCUUUCUCCACAAGUCCCUCGACAACGUCACCUGCAUCCUCCUCUCCUGCCACGGUGUUGCCGGCCCCUUUAUCUGCCCGACAAUCUCUCGCACCACCGCAUUGACACCAAGCCAGUGCAUCCGCUAGUCUGACAUGGAAUCAGUCGGAUCCGACUGGUCGAUGCAGCAGGGUUCACCGCUCUCUGUCCGGAUGUGGGUAGGAGGGACGACACCCAAGAAAAUGGAAACUCGGAUUUCUCUUCGUGAUUCGUAAGCAGAAGCAAAAGCUUGCAAUUUUGAAUUUUCUAGCCAUCCAGGUACAUCGCUCCAUGACUCUUUCUUAGCAUUUAUAUAUUAUUUAAUUAGUAGUGUUCUUAAUUUCUUGUAUUGUAGAUUUUAUUUGGAUAAUAUCAUCUAACAACGUGAAAAAAGAGAACAUGCAAAUGAGUUUAUUGAGUCCCAGGAAAGUACAUGUACUAAUUCCCCGCAAAUAAAGAAAGUACCUCUGCUAGGGAUUUCGAGGAAUUAGCUUUAGUUAGUUAUUGCUGAAUAACAACCUAGCGAAAAAUUAUAGGAUGAUAAAAUUUUGAGUUGGCACCGAAGGGAAAAACAUAGGUAUUGAUUGGCAAGACCAGCCAAAUUUUAUGUGAAUGAUUAUGGCCCCGGUUUUUCUGAAUAGUCGACAUGAUAAGGCAACAUAAAUUCUAGUGUAAUAAGUAUUCAUUUGCAUUUGAAAUAGAAAAAAUAUAUGUGGGUUUAGGGCCCUUUUUUGUUAUCUUGUCCCGGGCCCUCGAAAUCUUAGGACCGGGUCUGGAUGUUCGGCGAGCCGUCGGCGAGAGUGGGUGUGGCAUGUGGCAUUGUUUGGAUGGGCUUUGUAUUGGGUUUCGUUUGAUUUUUCGUAGUUAACUAGGCAACAACCUUGUUAUGAGAUGGGCAAAGUUUUUGCCUCGUGUUUUGGAAAAGAAAAAAAGUUUGGUGCUGUGAUUUUAAGCAAAGUGAUGUGCUAUAAUAAUUUAGUUAAUUGAAUCCCUCAAGGAAAAAUAGUCAAACUGCUGAAUAGAAUAGUGUAAAUCUGGUAGCACGUGGGCCCACUGAACUCCUGGAUGCAAAAGGAAAAGAGCACGUGCCGACAAAGAGGUGGAAGAGAGCCGGAACAGACAUGUCAAAGCAAUGAUCGAUCUCGUUUUCAUUAGUAGUAGUACGUGGUUUGCACAAAUCAUGCGCACAAAAAUUAAGCCAGCUAGCUAUGGCAAACGAAAAGGGAAAAAGAUGGCAAGAAAACCAAGCGGAGAAGGUUCCCGUGAAAGAAAAGUAAAGAAAACAGAGUACAGGAGUACACAGGACAGCCGGCGCCGCUUCUCCUCUCCCUCGCACGCACGCAUUCUUCACGUGCGCUGCGCGGCAAAAGGAAAGAAGAGACCGAACCGCCCCGUUGCCGUCGUGCGCGCACAACGUUUCAUAAACAAGCGGGGCAGAGAGAGAUUGAGAGGUGUGUGUGUGUGUGUAUUGACGGGCCGGCCUUCCUUCUUCCAAGAACUUGAGGAGGAAAGAUCGAUAGACCUGGUACUACUUGAAUAUACACAUUAAUGGCGGCGGCGAGUAGCAGCGCGCGGGACACCGCGGAGGGGUGGCGAGAUGGGGGAAGCGUCGACGACGGGGGAGCGGAGGUCGAACUGAGCCUGCGGCUUCGGACCGGGAGCAGCAGCGGCGGCGCGGCAAGGAGGAGCAUGACCAUAUUCUACGAUGGCCGGUCCCUGCAACCCGGUCGCGCUCCACGCCGCCUUCGACGACGCGGACGCCGUGCACCUCGUCGUCGACCUCUGCGCCGGCGGGGACCUCCUCUCGCUCCUCUCCGCCCGUGGCGGCCGCCUCCCCGAGCGCGAGGCGGCGGGGCUGGCCGCGCAGCGUCCGCGCUCGCCGCGUGCCACCGCCGCGGGAUCGCGCACCGCAACGUCAAGCCCGACAACUUCGACGCCGCCACCGGCGCGCUCAAGCUCGCCGACUUCGUUUCCGCGGAGUGGUUCGGGGACGGGCGGCCGAUGACCGGGCUCGUCGGCACGCCGUACUACGUGGCGCCCGAGGUGGUGGCCGGGAGGGAGUACGGCGAGAAGGUGGACGUGUGGAGCGCAAGGGUGAUGCUCCGCAAAGGAGCUCAGCGGCGACAGCGAGACGGCCGUCCUCCGCCGCUUGGGCACCGGUGGCCAGUCGCGGUACAGGGGAGACCCGUCGGUCUCCUCGUCGUCCUGGCGGUCCUCCCGCUCGAGCUUGGGCGCGAGGCGGUGCGGGACCGAGGGGGCCUGGCGGAGGAGCUUGGCGAGGCGGCGGAGGGAGCCGGAGAGCGGCGGCGGCGGCGAGGGCCUGGGGCGCACGUGGAUGAGCUGGACGGAAAAUCCGGUACGGCAAGGGAAAUCAUAACCAUGGCGAGCCAACAAAUUCUAACCGAGCAGCAGGACAGCAGCGGCGGCGGCACUGCAGUGGCACAGUGCGGAGCGCAUCAGAAUCCAAGCCAGCCGGCGCCGCAACGUUGGGCUCCAUUGUUGGCUUCACGCCCGCUUCGUCAGGGAGCAGGGGCUGCUGCGCCGGUCACCAGCCAAGCGGCCGCCGCGGGGCUGUCGAUGAAGCGGUCGUUGCAGCAGUUUCUGCAGAAGCGGAAGACAAGGGUCGCCGCCAUGGGUUCGCCGUACGCCGGCGGCCGGCGAGCGAUGCCCUUCUAGUCCUAGUCCGGUGGUUAAAGACACAUACGUACAGUGCUUGCUAGCAUAUGGUUAUUUUUGUUCUUGAGACUUGUAUUUUCAAGCAUGAGAU
Molecule: ribosomal RNA, 2952 nt
Filed under: Triticum aestivum (bread wheat)
Lineage: Eukaryota; Viridiplantae; Streptophyta; Magnoliopsida; Poales; Poaceae
Description: partial small subunit ribosomal RNA
Source: RNAcentral